This 8074-nucleotide long non-coding RNA is filed under the name Pelobates cultripes (western spadefoot toad). Lineage: Eukaryota; Metazoa; Chordata; Amphibia; Anura; Pelobatidae. The record is from RNAcentral.
GCUUUAUAAACUUUACAAAAUAGUUCAGACAAGUGACAAGUUCAAUAAUCGCAGUUCAAUGCAAAUCUGCAUUAACUAGAUUCAAUGUCUUUAUUAAACCAUUAGAUUAACAUUUAGGAGAGGUAUGAAGAGUCUCAUAGACAAGACAAUAUAUACAUAUAUAGGAAUUGAUCAAUGUGCAGGCAUUAAGUAUGUACGAGUUAGCAUUAUCUACAUUACUUUCUAUUACAAAAUGGCAUGUUCAAUCUGGACAGUCAUCAGAAGGUUCUAUUUUCUACCAGAUACUAUAGCUCUCCUCUUGCAUGUGCAUUUACAGAUGCGCUAAAAUGUUAGGAUUUAAAUGGGCAAUUUUUUUCUUGCCUUAAGAAUAUUUUAAAAAAUAUAAAUGUGAAACUUCUGAAUUUGUAGGAAUGAUAUCCAAUUGGUAUGGCUAAGGUAGACAUUUUACACUUACUUCUAACCACACCAACUGAAAGCAGUCAGCUGACACUCUCAGCCAGUCACAGCUGCCUAUUACUGCUCAGACAAAUUCUUCCUCAUUAGCCUGAACAACACAGGAGGGUAUGGGCUGCUGGAAACUCUUGUUUACUAUUAAAACAUUAAAAAAAAGUUUAAUACUGAAUGGAAAAACUACCAGGGGACUCCACUUCAUGUAACCUCUUCAAUGAGAGGAAUCAGUUAUAGUGCCAACAAUCUUCAUUUUACCUUUCAAGCAGCAGAAUUAUGGUAUAUGCUUCGAAUGCUUUCCAAUGGGGAAGGCGUUUGCGCAUUAGGUUUCCUCACGAUGAUGUCAGAGAAGGCAGAGACAGAGCCUGACUUAGUGCUUAAAGGGUUUUUAACCCUCUGGUUUUCCAGAGAGGGGGAAUGGGGAGAGGGACACUAUAGUGUUAUAAAUACAGCUUUGUAUUCUUUACACUACAUGUUCCUUAACUCCAAUUGCCUAUUUAAUGAACGAACCCUGCAGAAAUUAGUGAAUAUUUGACAAACAAUUAAUUUUCUAUAAGACUGAACAGCACAAGAUCAACAACAUAUAUUUAAACAUACAAAACACAUAUGUCAUGAUUUGUUUGACAUUAAAUUGAAAUACUGAAUUAUGACAAACACAAGACUGGAAAACGAAAAUAAAAAAACACCUUUAUUAAGAUUUCAAUAAAUGAAUUUUCUGUAAGGAAAGGGCGAUAUUAUAGACAAUGUAGAAUCUCCUUUCUGAAUGAGAGAUUGACAAAGAUUAUGAGGCCUGUAGCACAGAGUUUAAAAUAUACAGUAAUCACACUGCGUUUUUCAUACAAUGCUGGGUCCUUGAAAACCAUCAGUUAUUUUACAUUGAUUUUUAUUGAUAGUCAAGGUGAGUGAAACAUUUUCCACCAAAUAAAAAUGAAAGGGCUUUCUGCACCUGUACAGCAUAGGGAUAUGACAAGAUUUAUUUAUAUUCACAUUGAUAUGUUAACAUGUACAUCUCAGCCUGUAUUGGUUAUUGAAACAAGACAUACAGUUUAACAGGACACUUCAGGCACCAUCACAACUGUAAUGCAUCAGGUAGCAUUUGGCAACAACAGUAUUCGGUUUUGUUUUUUCCACUCAUACACAAAUAUAUAUAUAUAUAUAUAUAUAUAUAUAUAUAUAUAUAUAUAUAUCAAAUAGGUUAUGGUGUGAAAAAUUGUGAAUGAAAACCCCUUCCACCUGAAGUCUGUGGAUAGUUAAUACAAUGUUAAACAAAAAAUCUGCACACCAGUAAAGCCAUAGGACUUGCUUUUCCCACAGAAAUCACAAAUUUGCAGUGAUGUUACUACCUCAAAGGAUUCUGGAUUUCUGUGGGAAAAGCAAGUCUUGUGGCUUAACUGGUGUGCAGAUUUUUGUUUAACACUGUAUUAAAUAUAUAUUCCACACCUCUCCAAUUUUAACAUUUGUGCUUUAUUACCAAUGUAUGUAUAUAUGCAGGUCAGUGAGCUAAGCCGCUGGAAGUCAGGCACACUCACACAUUUAGAAAUCCAGUUAUUAAAUCUCUACGUGUCUGUCUGCUCUGAACUUUGCCUAUCUAGUAAACAGUGCACAAGCAAGGCUUUAAAAUGAUUUAGUAGAGAUUCUCCUUGCACAGAACAGAGAGAGAAAUGUGAUUAUUAUUACAGGUAUUUCACCGUGCUAAUUAAAAUGCUGAUUAAUCUGGUAAGGUAUACUGACAGUUGACAUUUCUGAUCCUCUGUGAGAAAUAAGUACUUCAUGCUGAUUGGUUGUUUGCCAGCUUUCUAAAAGAAACUGGUUAACAUUUUACUCGGAUAUCGCCGGAGAAGCUGCAGAAGUGCAGACUGCUAGAGAAAGAGGUAUUUAUAAUAAAUGUUUACAAAUUGUAUUUAAUGCACAUUUUUAUGAAUCACCUAAGUAACAUAUAUAACAAGAGCUUUCACCUGGGAGUGCUCUUUAACCCAUGAAAAAUAUCAAAAUAUUGAACUCCCUCCCCCCAAAAAAAAAGAAAAUAUUGUAGCAUAGUUUAAUUUGUUAUUGCUACAGACAUUUGAUUUUUAAAGGUAUUUGGACUUCUGGUAAUGGUGAAAUACUCUGUUCACUUUUUCUCUGUUCUGGUAGCAUCACCCAUAUAAGUAAAAGUUUUUUAAUUAAGUGAGAAUUCAAAGAGCAUUUCACAUUUAAAGGACCACUCUAGGCACCCAGACCACUUCAGCUUAAUGAAGUGGUCUGGGUGCCAGGUCCAGCUAGGGUUAACCCAUUUUUUCAUAAAAAUAGCAGUUUCAGAGAAACUGCUAUGUUUGUGAAUGGGUUAAGCCUUCCCCCUAAUCCUGAUUUUCACAGUGAGAGCACGCCAGCGUCCAUAGGAAAGCAUUAUGAAUGCUUUCCUGUGUGACCGGCUGAAUGCGCGUGCAGCUUUUGCCGCGCGUGCGCAUUCAGCCGACAGGGAGGAGAAGAGGAGGAUCGGAGGAGGAGAGCUCUCCGCCCAGCGCUGGAAAAAGGUAAGUUUUAACCCCUUGCCCCUUUCCAGAGCCGGGCGGGAGUGGGACCCUGAGGGUGGGGGCACCCUCAGGGCACUAUAGUGCCAGGAAAACGAGUAUGUUUUCCUGGCACUAUAGUGGUCCUUUAAGAUCAGGGUAGAUGGACUGGAAUCAAUUUCUUGAGUUUGGCUAUUUUGACCUUAAACUUUAAAUUCACUUUUGCACACAAACCUUGUGUGACUACUGCCAACUAUUUUGAGAUCAAUACGAUAGGAAGAGAAAAUAAAGAAACUACUAUAUUUUGAAUUAAUUCUAUCGCCAUUACAACAUUGCUCAGUAACAUGCCAUACAAGCUUAAAGUGCAACUACAUGUAUUCCUGACCCUAUAGUUUUAACACAACCAUCUAGCCCCCCUGGGCCCCUCAUGCCUCCAUAAAUAUAGUUACUUACUGUAUUCAAGCCAGAAGCUGUAAAUCUGCAUGCUGUUAGACUCAGGAAAAACAAGACGUCUGCUGACAUGUGAUAGCCUGAUCCAAUCACAGUUCUUCCCCAUAGGAUUGGCUAAGACUGACAAAGAGACAGAUCAGGGGCAGAGCCAGCAUGAUUCAAACACAGCCCUGGCCAAUCAGCAUCUCCUCAUAGAGAUGAAUUGAAUCAAUGAAUCUCUAUGAGGAAAGUUCAGUGUUUGCAUGCAGUGGGAGGAGAUACUGUAUCACGGGAUGCUUGUGCACAGCAGAUCUGAGUGGAUGGAGGCAUACUAAGAAGUCCCUCUGGUUCACUAUGAGUGACUGCAACUGGAUGUGUUCCUAGCUUUCAAUGUAAACACUGUAUUUUCUCAGAAAAUACAGUGUUUACAUGAGAAAGGCUGCAGGGAGCUAUAGUGCUCACCUGAACAACCUCAUUAAGCUGUUCAGGUGACUAUAGUGUCCCUUUAAAAGGUCUCUUUAAGCAAGGUUUAGUGUUUCUGAAUGUAAAACUGCACGGUUUAAAAUGGAUUUCCUAUUUUAUGUAAGCGAGUCAGUGUAAUGUCAAUAUUUCCAUGGUGUAUGCAUGGUUUAAUAUUUACACGCUUUACAAAAAAUGCAAAUUUGUAUUUCCUCAACAAAAGAAGUGAUCAGGAUGCUAUAUGUAACUUUCCAAAGUGCUGACUUUAUCCCAUAAAUCUCUGCAGAGUCAAACUUGGGCUGAGCAGAGGUUUCUAAAAAUUGUAGUUCAGAUAGCCUUUCUUUAACUUAUGAAAGCUGUCUAUCUAAACAUACAUCUUUGCUGUGAUGACAUAAACAUGUGUGUUAUUGAUGUUGGGAAGGACAGAAUGGAUGAACAUAUAUACAGUAACCAGCAAGACAGAAGUAGAACAGAGGAGUCCGUUAAGAAGCAGAAUGAUGCAAAACAUUUAUUUUGUAAAAAAAAAACAAAAAGCAAAUUUAAAAAAAAACAAAAACCCCCCCCACAAAACUAUUCAGAUUCUGAACAUGAAAAACAAUAAAGCAUAUCAACAUAACAUAUGUAUUGUUAGUAAGUUGUGUUGAUACCUCACUUGAGCCUUUCAUUUAAAGGUGUUAAUGUUGCAUUAGUAAUGUUUUAGAUCAGGGAUUCUUAAAAGGGGAACAGUCACUUAACAGGGUUUUAAUAUUCCGUUGCUUAUCCUUGAGAUAUAGAUAUAUAUAUAUAUAUAUAUAUAUAUAUAUAUAUAUAAAUAUAUAUAAUUUUUUCUGAGAAAAUAUUAACACAAGCUAUAUGGGAGUUUUCCAUGUUUUAUUCAGUGGUGUAAAGAAGUGACGGUUUCACUUCAAGGUCAGGAUUCACAACUGGUAUCCACUGGCUGUAACUAAAUUAUUUUUUAAAUUGCAUUAGAAAAAAAAAAAAAAAAAGUGUCAUUCAUGUUCUUUGUAUAUAUACUUAAUAUAUACAAUAUACUAUGGCUUUUCAAACAAAUUCCAAGACAGAUGUGUUCAAUUGGUGGCAUUGGGAUUAGGAGAUUUCUCAGAUCAAUGAGCUAAAUGAAUACAGAGAAGGCGUUAAAAUAAGGUUUCUCAUUGUCUAACUUGAAAAAUAUAACACUAUAAGAAUUUAACACCUUAAGGACACAUGACAUGUGUGACGUCAUGAUUCCCUUUUAUUCCAGAAGUUUGGUCCUUAAGGGGUUAAACCAAGGGUGAUAAAAAGGUGGAAGGCUGACCUAGUUAUCAUAUGAUUUGUAAUACUACAGCUGGGGAUCAACCUUUUAGCAAACCCUAACGUAAAAAGGUAUGACAUUACUUCCAAAGCCCUCUUUGAUUGAUUACACUAGAUAAAAACAUAACACUGAGUCAUUAGGAACAUAUUAAUAAGCAAUUAUUAAUAUCUAUUAUGUGACAUAAAAAAAUAAAAAAAUCAAUUUACAGUAGAACCUCCCCAACAAAAAAAUAAAAUAAAUGAUUUUAAAGUAGAUUGUCCCCUUCACCAGACAUCACUUUAUACAAAAGAACCCCUAACAAAAAUUGUGAUACUGCAUUUACCAUUUGUAGGUCAACCUAUGAUAUUCAGGUUAAGUCAAAGGGGAUAACACUAAGACCAAUCUUCCACCCGACAAACCUUAUUUUGGGCCUCACAGAAUAAAGCUAUGUUUCUUAGGUAAAAGGGCUACGUUAUCACUAUAUUUGGUUUCCCUCUCGUCUUUUUUGCAAUUAACUGCCAACAAUGAAUUCAGAUCCUAGACAAAUGAAGCAUUUAACAAUCAGGAUUGAUAGAUUUAUCUAUUUUGAGCUUUUUCUUUAGUUGAACUAGAUGUGUACUAGUUAUUAUAUACUAUUUAUUUAUUUAAAAUAUGGCGAUGUCAACAUUGGGGGGGGGGGGGUCUUUGCAUAUUAUCCAAAGUCUCCAGAUGGCAACAGUUCCACUUUAAAGAGAACCUCUUAAAUUAUGGUGAAUCAAAGACACUAAACAAAUUCUAGGUUUUGUUUUGGUUCAAACCUUGGACAACUGCCUCCAUCCAUAAAGGGUUAACAAUGAAUGAGGAUCCAUGGCCUCCUACAGUCCGACCCCCACUGAAGGUAUGACUAUGGCAGAGAACACACUGUUUCUUAGCCAAACCAAUGCAUAUCAGCAAUGGGUAGCUGUAACACUUUCAGUCAAUCUCUGCUUCCCUUUGCUGAUCCAGAAAAUGCUUCCUCAUUAAACAGGCAGCUACGAGGGGAGGGGCUAGCAGCUGCUGGGACUCUUCUUUAGCAUUAAACCAUUCAAAAACUGUUAUACAUAGAAUGGAAGGACAGCACCAGGAGAAUAUAGCCUCUUCAAUGAGAAGUGGUGAUAAAAGUGCCUACACUUGCAGGCUUCCCCAAACUCCGGCCCACCAGAUGUUGCUGAAUUACAACUCCCAUGAUUCUCAGCCUUUUUCAUUCAUAGAAUCAUGGGAAUUGUAGUCAGCAACAUCUGGAGGGCCGGAGUUUGGGGAAGCAUGGCCUAGAGUGUCCCUUAAAAGCAGGAAAUAUCUUUAAAUAAGUUUAAAGGACCACUCUAGGCACCCAGACCACUUCAGCUUAAUGAAGUGGUCUGGGUGCCAGGUCCAGCUAGGGUUAACCCAUUUUUUCAUAAACAUAGCAGUUUCAGAGAAACUGCUAUGUUUAUGAAUGGGUUAAGCCUUCCCCCUAAUCCUCUAGUGGCUGUCUCAUUCACAGCCACUAGAGGCGCUUGCGUGCUUCUCACUGUGAUUUCCACAGUGAGAGCACGCAAGCGUCCAUAGGAAAGCAUUAUGAAUGCUUUCCUAUGUGACCGGCUGAAUGCGCGCGCAGCUUUUGCCGCACGUGCGCAUUCAGCACAGGAGGAGGAUCGGAGGAGGAGAGCUCCCCGCCCAGCGCUGGAAAAAGGUAAGUUUAACCCCUUUUCCCCUUUCCAGAGCCGGGCACUGAAUUGGAAUAUGUUAAAACAAAAACAUAAAUUUGUUCCAAAUGACCAAUUCUAGCAUAAAAAAAAAUCCAUUUGGUAUGUAAUAUCUAUUGAAAUUUUUGCAUCAUGCUCAGUGACUAGGUUGGGAGCUAGAUAUAUUUUUGCAUUUGCAAAAUUAAUACCCCAUAAUGCUAUAUGAACCAUACUAAAGUGAAAUUACUUGGCUGGUCUGAAUUUAGACAUUAUGUAAUGUUUGUAAGUUGAGAAAUUUCAAAAAGAGGAUUUUCUUUGUUUUAAAAAGUAGUUUUAAGCCAUGGCUUCAAGUCUGGAUAUGAGAGCCUGGUCUGUUACUUACUGGCUCUCGUACCAAAGCAUAUCAUGAUAAGACGUACACAUGCACUGUGCUGUCACAGUUUGACACAGAGAACCAUUGCAUAAAAUGGUUUACUAUGGCAUAAUCGUAGGCGCAUUUUUAGGCACAUAUGUGCCUCUGGUGUCCCUUCCUCCAGGAUGACAUCAGAAGAGGUGGAGCCGCAACAGCUUGUGGGAGAUUCGGUGUUGGAGAGAAGGCGAGCAUAAUGAUUUAAUUUUGUUUUGGACAUGCCGGCGGGAAGGGGGGGUCAGAAUCUAAGUAGGUGCAUUAAGACAGUAGCGUUAGGAAUACAGAAAUGCUUCCCUAGCACUUUUCCUUAAGUGUACAAAGCCAAAGGAUCCAUUUUAUGAAUACAGUAAUGGUUUUUACUUUAUUAUUGGUAACGUAAACUGUCUGUCCUUCUUUUCAUGUACAAGAGCCUAGAAAUACUUUAAGAUGACAGAUUAUAUUAAGAGUGUAAAAAAAUUUAUAAAAAAAAAAAAAUUCCCGCAUUACCUUCAUCAUAAAUGGUCAAUACAUUAUUGGGGGAAAUGUUAGAAUACACACUAUACAGUAGCUCAGAAAUUAUGUUAAAUGUUACAGCUGAAAUUAUGCUUGAUACAAUAAGUGCUUUAGCUUCAAUUAUUCCUUUGCUUGCAUUAGUUUAAGAAAUACUUACAGCGAACAAAUACAAUUUACAAAAGAUAGUGGAAAAACACCUUAGAAAUCUUUUAAAAAUUGGUAGCAGAAUGAUUUUGUUAAUUAUAAUAGCUUUUAGAAGUGAAUGCUUUUUUUUGUUUUGUGUAUUUUCAUGGAAAAUUUAAAUUUGUUCUUCAAAUAAUUGUUGUUAAGCAAAUGUUGCUCUAUUCUAACACAGAAAUGAAAGGCAAUACUAUUUUCACUUUUCUUUUGAUUUCUA